Molecule: long non-coding RNA, 682 nt
Filed under: Schizosaccharomyces pombe (fission yeast)
Lineage: Eukaryota; Fungi; Ascomycota; Schizosaccharomycetes; Schizosaccharomycetales; Schizosaccharomycetaceae
Description: centromeric lncRNA
Source: RNAcentral
GUGAAUGCUCUCGGUAAUUUAUUGCAAUUUUUGGAUCAGCUUAGUAACGAAAACGUAUUAAGUAUUUAUGGAAUUCCUUACGUAACAUACGUUUGCAGGUUUACUGCAUUUUCUUAGUAAAUUCACAACCGUGACUUCAUUGAUGCCAUUAUUAUAUGACUUACAAACUAUACUACUCUUCGCUAUGGAUAAACUUUUCUUUCGUACCACCUAUCAACAAUGGUGUCUAUAACUUUACGUAAAGCAGUAAAGCAAGUUUAAAUAUUUCAUCUUCCCCAAUCGCAAUCCAAUAACCAAAUGCAUAUUUGGUUUACAAUGGUUUUAAAGAUUAGACACAAGCAUUGUUCUCGUUUGCCGAUCUCUUAAUAUGUCAUUUUUCUUUCAGAUGUCAAAGUAUAUUUUUAUUAGUACUAUCAUGUGAGACACGGUCUUCUUAAUUUCGUAAUUGUUACUCAGUUUAUUUGAUAAAGACAUGAUUAUCUGAUUUGUGAGCACAAAGGCAUAUUACGCUCUCACUUGGCACUAAUUGUUUAGAUUAAUAUCCAGUUUUGCUUUCGUUUAAAAAAUAUUUAACUUGCUCACUCAUUUAUUUUUACGCACAAACAUUAUUUACAACGGAAAUUAUCGACCAUGUGAUGUAUAAAUGAACACAAUUCAGUCGUUGAAUUAAUAAACUUGGAAA